This 357-nucleotide unclassified non-coding RNA is filed under the name soil metagenome. Its description in RNAcentral is "partial contains 5.8S ribosomal RNA, internal transcribed spacer 2, and large subunit ribosomal RNA". The stretch from base 1 to 120 matches the Rfam family "5.8S ribosomal RNA", at positions 35 to 154 of the family's 154-position model. The record is from RNAcentral.
GAUGAAGAACGUAGUGAAAUGCGAUAAGUAAUGUGAAUUGCAGAAUUCAGUGAAUCAUCGAAUCUUUGAACGCACAUUGCGCCCGCUGGUAUUCCGGCGGGCAUGCCUGUUCGAGCGUCAUUUCAACCCUCAAGCUCUCCGGAGUUUGGUGUUGGGGCGCCUGGGGCUUUUCGACCUCAGGGCCCUCAAGUCCAUCGGCGGGACCGCCAGGACACUGAGCGCAGUAGUAUUAUUUCGCUCGGUAGGAUCUUCCACGGCGGGUCGAUCUGGCCGCUAAACCCCCCAAUUCUCACCAAAGGUUGACCUCGGAUCAGGUAGGAAUACCCGCUGGACUUAAGCAUAUCAAUAAGCGGAGGA